GAUGAAGAACGUAGCGAAAUGCGAUAAGUAAUGUGAAUUGCAGAAUUCAGUGAAUCAUCGAAUCUUUGAACGCACAUUGCGCCCCCUGGUAUACCGGGGGGCAUGCCUGUCCGAGCGUCAUUACAACCCUCAAGCUCAGCUUGGUGUUGGGCCCCGCCGCCCCGGCGGGCCCUAAAGUCAGUGGCGGUGCCGUCCGGCUCCGAGCGUAGUAAUUCUUCUCGCUCUGGAGGUCCGGUCGUGUGCUCGCCAGCAACCCCCAAUUUUUUUCAGGUUGACCUCGGAUCAGGUAGGGAUACCCGCUGAACUUAAGCAUAUCAAUAAGCGGAGGA
This 329-nucleotide unclassified non-coding RNA is filed under the name soil metagenome. RNAcentral describes it as "partial contains 5.8S ribosomal RNA, internal transcribed spacer 2, and large subunit ribosomal RNA". The stretch from base 1 to 120 matches the Rfam family "5.8S ribosomal RNA", at positions 35 to 154 of the family's 154-position model. The record is from RNAcentral.